Molecule: ribosomal RNA, 510 nt
Filed under: uncultured bacterium
Lineage: Bacteria
Description: partial 16S ribosomal RNA
Rfam family: Bacterial small subunit ribosomal RNA
Source: RNAcentral
GACGAACGCUGGCGGCGUGCUUAACACAUGCAAGUCGAACGAAGAGCGAUGGAAGCUUGCUUCUAUCAAUCUUAGUGGCGAACGGGUGAGUAACGCGUAAUCAACCUGCCCUUCAGAGGGGGACAACAGUUGGAAACGACUGCUAAUACCGCAUACGAUCUAAUCUCGGCAUCGAGGAUAGAUGAAAGGUGGCCUCUACAUGUAAGCUAUCACUGAAGGAGGGGAUUGCGUCUGAUUAGCUAGUUGGAGGGGUAACGGCCCACCAAGGCGAUGAUCAGUAGCCGGUCUGAGAGGAUGAUCGGCCACAUUGGGACUGAGACACGGCCCAGACUCCUACGGGAGGCAGCAGUGGGGAAUCUUCCGCAAUGGACGAAAGUCUGACGGAGAAACGCCGCGUGAGUGAUGACGGCCUUCGGGUUGUAAAGCUCUGUUAAUCGGGACGAAAGGCCUUCUUGCGAACAGUUAGAAGGAUUGACGGUACCGGAAUAGAAAGCCACGGCUAACUACGUG